This 467-nucleotide ribosomal RNA is filed under the name uncultured bacterium. Its description in RNAcentral is "partial 16S ribosomal RNA". It matches the Rfam family "Bacterial small subunit ribosomal RNA", at positions 28 to 507 of the family's 1533-position model. The record is from RNAcentral.
GACGAACGCUGGCGGCGUGCUUAACACAUGCAAGUCGAACGGAAAGGCCCUGCUUUUGUGGGGUGCUCGAGUGGCGAACGGGUGAGUAACACGUGAGUAACCUGCCCUUGACUUUGGGAUAACUUCAGGAAACUGGGGCUAAUACCGGAUAGGAGCUCCUGCUGCAUGGUGGGGGUUGGAAAGUUUCGGCGGUUGGGGAUGGACUCGCGGCUUAUCAGCUUGUUGGUGGGGUAGUGGCUUACCAAGGCUUUGACGGGUAGCCGGCCUGAGAGGGUGACCGGCCACAUGGGGAUUGAGAUACGGCCCAGACUCCUACGGGAGGAAGCAGUGGGGAAUAUUGCAAAAUGGGCGGAGGCCUGAUGCAGCAACGCCGCGUGCGGGAGGACGGCCUCGGGUUGUAAACCGCUUUCGCCUGUGACGAAGCGUGAGUGACGGUAAUGGGUAAAGAAGCACCGGCUAACUACGUG